CCUACGGGAGGCUGCAGUGGGGAAUAUUGGUCAAUGGAGGAAACUCUGACCCAGCAACGCCGCGUGAAGGAUGAAGGUUUUCGGAUUGUAAACUUCUGUUGCUAGGGAUGAAGAUUGACGUUACCACGUAAUAAAGCCCCGCCAACCACGUGCCCGCCGCCGCCGUAAUACGGAGGGUGCCAGGGUUUCUCGGAAUCACCGGGCGUAAAGAGGGGGUAGGCGGGAUAUCAAGUCAUGUGUGAAAUCCUGUGGCUUAACCGUAGAACUGCAUAUGAAACUGGUAAUCUUGAGUAUGGGAGAGGUAGGUGGAAUUCGCGGUGUAGGGGUAGAAUGCGUAGAGAUCGAGAGGAAGACUCGAGGCGAAGGCGACCUGCUGGAACGUAACUGACGCUGAGGCUCGAAAGCGUGGGGAGCAAACAGGAUUAGAUACCCCAGUAGUC
Molecule: ribosomal RNA, 440 nt
Filed under: uncultured bacterium
Lineage: Bacteria
Description: partial 16S ribosomal RNA
Rfam family: Bacterial small subunit ribosomal RNA
Source: RNAcentral